AUCGCGAAAAAUCUGUCACAGUGGAACCCUGGCCGUAAAAUUUGAAUCAAACUCCUCCCAAAGUAACGAUUUUCGGCCAGAUCUUGUACAUCUUCGUUAGCUUCGCGGGAUCUUCGUGAGAUAUUGUUCAUCGUCGUCGGACCUUCGGCAGCCAUUGGAUCUUCGUCAUCGUCAUCUGAUCGUCGUUGGAUCUUUGUCGGAACUUCGUCUUCUUCGUAUGAGUUUCGUCAAAUCUGAUUGUUCUUCGUCGGAUCUGAAUCGUCUUCGUCAGAUCUGAACUUUCUUCGUCGGUUCGUCAUCAUCUUCGUCGGACUUUAAUCGGUAUCAGAAGCAUCUGUUAGUAGAAAUCACAGUACUAUGAUUGUUCCUACUGGAAGUUCUCGGGACGAAGGGUGGACAACAUUCAGAAACAUUUUGGCAGAAAUUAAUGAAGCAUCGCGGCUUUUCAUAUUGCCCAAUCAGGCGUACUUGCAGAGCAUGCAUAAACCCCUUGUCUGUUUUUACACAUACAAUUGUUGCAUUUAUCAGAUGUCUUACUUAUCCCUUUUUUGGUUCUAUUGUAUGUGUGUGUGAAAAUAGCAAAGUUCUGAACCUUUAGAGCGUCUUGUUGGGCUUUCAGAUGAUGUUGGGGCUGGCUUCAUUUCUGGCCAUAGUAGCCAACCUGCCUCUGCUUCUGAACUGAAUGUUGACAGGUCGGUUGACUUGCCGGCACAAGAUGAAAUAGGUAACAUGGGGGUUUCAAAAGUAAUCAGAGCCGAUCAGAGGAGAUUCUUCUUUGAUUUAGGGAGCAACAACAGGGGUCACUUCCUGAGGAUAUCUGAGGUGAAAAACGGAGGAUAUUUAUGAUUAUUUAUCUAAAUUGCUUCAAAAUUAUUUGGAGAUGGCUGUUGCCCAGACAAUCAGACUGCUGCCCAGACAAAGUUAAAUUAUGAUUUGCAUUUAUUUGAAUUUCAGACAGUCAGACUGCUGCCCAGCGAAUUUUUGUAAAAAAAAUUGAAAGAAAAAAAAAAUCAGAGUUAUUUGGAGUUA
Pistacia vera is the source of this 1029-nucleotide long non-coding RNA. RefSeq lists it as uncharacterized. The transcript is spliced from 3 exons. NCBI's taxonomy places the organism in Eukaryota, Viridiplantae, Streptophyta, Magnoliopsida, Sapindales, Anacardiaceae. The record is from RefSeq and is a predicted model, not a curated record.